This 1449-nucleotide long non-coding RNA is filed under the name Glycine max (soybean). Its description in RNAcentral is "long non-coding RNA (GMAX_LNC002992)". Lineage: Eukaryota; Viridiplantae; Streptophyta; Magnoliopsida; Fabales; Fabaceae. The record is from RNAcentral.
GAAAGCUAAAACUCUCUUAAACUAUUUUAUUUAUAUUAAUAUAAAUGGUAAAUAGUCACUUUUGUCUCUCAAUGUGUAAUUCGUUGACAAAUACGUCCUCAAAAGAUGAAAAUACAAAAUAUAUCUAACCGUUAACUUCCAUCUGAUACCGUUAAUAAAAUAGCCUACGUAAAAUGAUGACCAGUACGGAAUGUCAGCAUAGAGACAUAUUUGUCAUAAUAUUUUUUUGACUUUUCGUCUUCUCACUCCGCUACAAAUGCGUUCCUGAAAGAUGAAAAUACAAAAUUUAUAGUCUCUAAAAGUAUAAAAAGUGCAGCAAACAUAUCCGGACAUUAAUAAUAGAUCAUUAUUAUUAUUAUUAUUAUGUGUUUAUAGUUUAAUGUUCUUAUUCGUUUAAUACUUAUGCAAUAUAUUUUUUAAAUUAUCUUUUAAUAUAUAUUUUUAUUAUUUUGAUUUCCUUGUCAAACCUUAAUUUUUGCUGUUAAAAAAAAACUAUGUUAUAAUUUGAUCAAAUUUCUCACUUUAAUCUUUAAAAUGAUUUCAUAUUUCAAUUUCAACUUAAGUAUCCAUAUAUUUAGAUUCAAAAUAAUAUGUCAAGAAUUUUGAAUAAAAAAAAUACAAUCGAUCGUAGGACUAAAUUUAUUUAUUUAUUUUUAAAAAAAUUUAAUCAACUAGUUUUAUAUAUAUAUAUAUAUAUAUACCUUAAAUAUGAAAGAAUUCCUUGCAUGUACUUCUAAUUGAGAAUAAUUACUUACAAAUAAAAAACACAAAUAAAUUUAAAUAAAAAAUACAAUAAUGUUGAAACUAAUAAAGAGGUUAACUUCAAAACAAAAUAAAAGAAGACAAAUACAAAAAUUUAUUUUUUACUUUGGAACAUAGAGUUGGAUUUCUAUCUAAUUUAGGAAAUGAAGGGACCUUCUAUUCUAUUUGGCAAGUACUUAAUAAAUAUUAAUAAUUAAUUACAAAAAAUUUUAAGAAAUAAAAGGUUUUCCUUUUUUUAAAAUAAUAACUUAAUUUUUUUAUAUCAUAAAAGUAAAAGAAAUUUAUUUUAUUUUAGAGUUGAUUAAUUAAAAAAACUAAUUAAUAAUUUAAUAAACGAAUAAAUAGAUAAUCAAAAGUAGCCUAGUAUAAAUGUCUCUUAAACUCAUUUUAGAUGGAAGUUAACAAGCAAUGCAAAUGCACGGGUAACUUAGUUCUGAAUAAACGCGAAAGCAACACUUAUAGGGUGGUGACGAAUUCAAGGGUAGAUAAGAAAAAGAAAAAAUGUGUAGCCUCGAGAAGCGUGGCAACGCCUGGGUACUAACCCUCGACGGCGACGACGGCGACGUCCAACACCGCCUCAACCCAACCCUAAUUGAUUCCCUCCUCUCAACGCUUAACCGUCUCGCAUCUCAAGCCACUCCCGGCUCCGUCCUCGUCACCACCGCCACCGGCAAAUUCUUCUCCAAC